AAUAUUGGACAAUGGGGGCAACGCUGAUCCAGCCAUGCCGCGUGUGUGAAGAAGGUCUUCGGCUUGUAAAGCACUUUAAGUUGGGAGGAAGGGCUUUAGGUUAAUACCCUGAAGUUUUGACGUUACCAAUAGAAUAAGCUCCGGCUAACUCUUUGCCAGCAGCCGCGGUAAUACAGACGGGGCACGCGUUAAUCGGAAUUACUGGGCGUAAAGCGCGCGUAGGUGGUUCAGUAAGAUGGGUGUGAAAUCCCCGGGCUUAACCUGGGAACUGCUUUCAUAACUGCUGAGCUAGAGUACGGUAGAGGGUAGUGGAAUUUCCUGUGUAGCGGUGAAAUGCGUAGAGAUAGGAAGGAACACCAGUGGCGAAGGCGACUACCUGGACUGAUACUGACACUGAGGUGCGAAAGCGUGGGGAGCAAA
Molecule: ribosomal RNA, 420 nt
Filed under: uncultured bacterium
Lineage: Bacteria
Description: partial 16S ribosomal RNA
Rfam family: Bacterial small subunit ribosomal RNA
Source: RNAcentral